This is a long non-coding RNA of Lutra lutra (Eurasian river otter), 293 nucleotides long. RefSeq lists it as uncharacterized. Lineage: Eukaryota; Metazoa; Chordata; Mammalia; Carnivora; Mustelidae. The transcript has 3 exons. The record is from RefSeq and is a predicted model, not a curated record.
CAGAGCCCAGAACCAGAACACAUUUGGAUCCCUAGUGCGUGCAAAUGAUUGUUGAUGGCAUGUUUGGUGCCAGGACCCAUGGAAGGUUCUUGUACAGCCCUGUGAAAGUAGAGGCAUAUGAAGUCAAGAGAUCUGACAUCGUUAGAUGUGACAUCAUGAAGCUACCAGCUCUGCGGUCCUUUGGAAGCUCCUGGAGAUCCUCAAAAACAAACUGACAUCAGGAAUGAUCCAAGAGAGGGAGAGCUGUUGGCAAAAGAGGAGGUGACAGAGAAGAACAUUUGAGAGGAGAUGGA